Long non-coding RNA from Gopherus evgoodei (Goodes thornscrub tortoise), 404 nucleotides. RefSeq lists it as uncharacterized. The record is from RefSeq and is a predicted model, not a curated record. The transcript is spliced from 2 exons. NCBI's taxonomy places the organism in Eukaryota, Metazoa, Chordata, Testudines, Testudinidae.
GGGGGAGGGAGGGAGUAAGGGGACAGCGAAGCACGGGAGAGCUGAAGCUGUGCAGAUCUGGCCCGCGCUCAAACCUGUUACCAGCUGCUGCAGCCUCCACUGAAGGAAACGCUCCUCAGUGUUCUUAGGCCUCCCACAUGGCCCAGAGAAGCACAAAAGAGCACAGGCCCAAGUCUUCUUCCUCUUUCAUAGAUCCAGAAGGGACCAUAAGAUCAUCUUGUCUGUGUAUCACAUACCAGUUCCUUUUACCCAGUCAUCCAAGGCAAGUCACCUGUGUUUGACGAACACAUCCUCCAGGAAGGCAGCUGGGAAGGAUUUGAAGAUGGCCAGAGAUGGAGACUCCUCUUCAGGGCACCUUUAAAGAAAGGCCAUUAAAAAGCAUUCCACCCAAGUCUCCAACUUUA